GUCCCCGUAGCGCAGUGGAUAGCGCGCUGGACUUCUAAUCCAGAGGUCGCGGGAUCGAAUCCCGCCGGGGAUG
This 73-nucleotide transfer RNA is filed under the name Dreissena polymorpha. RNAcentral's name for it is "transfer RNA arginine (anticodon UCU)". It matches the Rfam family "tRNA". From Rfam's summary of the family: Transfer RNA (tRNA) molecules are approximately 80 nucleotides in length. Their secondary structure includes four short double-helical elements and three loops (D, anti-codon, and T loops). The record is from Rfam by way of RNAcentral. Lineage: Eukaryota; Metazoa; Mollusca; Bivalvia; Myida; Dreissenidae.